GAUGAACGCUAGCUACAGGCUUAACACAUGCAAGUCGAGGGGCAGCAUGGUCUUAGCUUGCUAAGGCCGAUGGCGACCGGCGCACGGGUGAGUAACACGUAUCCAACCUGCCGUCUACUCUUGGACAGCCUUCUGAAAGGAAGAUUAAUACAAGAUGGCAUCAUGAGUCCGCAUGUUCACAUGAUUAAAGGUAUUCCGGUAGACGAUGGGGAUGCGUUCCAUUAGAUAGUAGGCGGGGUAACGGCCCACCUAGUCUUCGAUGGAUAGGGGUUCUGAGAGGAAGGUCCCCCACAUUGGAACUGAGACACGGUCCAAACUCCUACGGGAGGCAGCAGUGAGGAAUAUUGGUCAAUGGGCGAGAGCCUGAACCAGCCAAGUAGCGUGAAGGAUGACUGCCCUAUGGGUUGUAAACUUCUUUUAUAAAGGAAUAAAGUCGGGUAUGCAUACCCGUUUGCAUGUACUUUAUGAAUAAGGAUCGGCUAACUCCGUGCCAGCAGCCGCGGUAAUACGGAGGAUCCGAGCGUUACCCGGAUUUAUUGGGUUUAAAGGGAGCGUAGAUGGAUGUUUAAGUCAGUUGUGAAAGUUUGCGGCUCAACCGUAAAAUUGCAGUUGAUACUGGAUAUCUUGAGUGCAGUUGAGGCAGGCGGAAUUCGUGGUGUAGCGGUGAAAUGCUUAGAUAUCACGAAGAACUCCGAUUGCGAAGGCAGCCUGCUAAGCUGCAACUGACAUUGAGGCUCGAAAGUGUGGGUAUCAAACAGGAUUAGAUACCCUGGUAGUCCACACGGUAAACGAUGAAUACUCGCUGUUUGCGAUAUACAGCAAGCGGCCAAGCGAAAGCGUUAAGUAUUCCACCUGGGGAGUACGCCGGCAACGGUGAAACUCAAAGGAAUUGACGGGGGCCCGCACAAGCGGAGGAACAUGUGGUUUAAUUUGAUGAUACGCGAGGAACCUUACCCGGGCUUAAAUUGCAGAUGAAUUACGGUGAAAGCCGUAAGCCGCAAGGCAUCUGUGAAGGUGCUGCAUGGUUGUCGUCAGCUCGUGCCGUGAGGUGUCGGCUUAAGUGCCAUAACGAGCGCAACCCUUGUUGUCAGUUACUAACAGGUUCCGCUGAGGACUCUGACAAGACUGCCAUCGUAAGAUGUGAGGAAGGUGGGGAUGACGUCAAAUCAGCACGGCCCUUACGUCCGGGGCUACACACGUGUUACAAUGGGGGGUACAGAGGGCCGCUACCACGCGAGUGGAUGCCAAUCCCAAAAACCUCUCUCAGUUCGGACUGGAGUCUGCAACCCGACUCCACGAAGCUGGAUUCGCUAGUAAUCGCGCAUCAGCCACGGCGCGGUGAAUACGUUCCCGGGCCU
Molecule: ribosomal RNA, 1358 nt
Filed under: uncultured bacterium
Lineage: Bacteria
Description: bacterial SSU rRNA
Rfam family: Bacterial small subunit ribosomal RNA
Source: RNAcentral